GGUGGGGUGGGGAAAGAGAGUUUUAGUUCUGUAAUAAGACUGCAGAUCUUUUUGCUGUAGUACGAUUUCAAUCGCUGAAAGGAAUGCCAAUAGAUCAGACUCAUCACCUUGUUGGUAUCCAUUAUAGACACAUUUCCCUCUAUACUGUCAAGCAAGGAAUACUUUGUUGGACUCUUCUGAAACAGCAGCAUUUCAGAUAAGAAUGCUCGGAAGUCAGUCUCGUGGGUUUCAGUAGCGCUUUCCCAUAAUAUACGCUUGAGAUUACAGGAUCUUUUGGAUGUUCCACUGAAAUCACCAGUUUCUCGUGUGUAGGAUCGGGGCACAAAGUUGGUGGUGGAUUGUUUUCUCAGGGGAGAACCUCUUAACAUAGUACAGCCUCCUCCAUCAAUGUAUUACAAAAUAACCCUUCUCUUUAAAUAAUUCAGUUUCGAUUGUUGGGUUAGUUUUUUUGUUUCUGAGUGUUACGGGGCGAGGGGUUGAUGGGAGACGGCAGUAGCGUUCGAUGGCCAAAAAUGUUAUUGACUAACCAUAUUUCAUCCCUUUGGCAAAGAUGGGCGUGUGGGGGGAAAUCUCCUGCAGGGUGUGGGGACGAAGAACAAGGAAGGAGACUGUAUGCUGCUAACCCCGGUCAGCUGCCCAGUUUCAGACAACCUAUGGAGGAGAUCACUAUUAUCCGCUUAAUAUUUAUCAAUGACGUCUGGGCCGAAUCUGAUGCAUUUGGGAAGUUUGAACCUCUAAAGGGCCGAACUGGGUCGUAGCAAUUUCUUACAUGCAAACGAGGAGGAAGAGAAACCAAGUGCCGGUGAGAUUUCAGGAGCGUGUCUUGACACCACCAGCGGCCCCCUGCGCGCAAAAGAAGUUUUACGACUUGCGCAACAACUUCCAUUUGCAACUCCACCAACAUCAGGAACCUUCAUCAAUCUCUCCUCCUCCCCUCCCCGAUUCCGCUUAAGGUUCAGUUAAAGCAAUUAUAAAAAUGUGAAAACCAAAGCGAGCUAGCAUUGUAACUUCUUCCAUAUGUCUUUCAAGGCGCCUGGGAAUGGAGGUGUCUUGAGGAGCAAAAAGAUCGGUUUUCUGCGUCUCCUGUUUAAACAGGUUUGGCCGUUUUCAUUUUCUUUUUAUCAAAAAGUGCUGCGGGUAGAAACGGCAAGCCAAACCAAGUGUUUUCACGGUAGGUUUCGAAUUGGCGCGGUACCACAGAAUUUCUAGUCUGAGAAGAACCGGAGAGUCAACAGGUCCGGACCCCUGGCCCAGGAGAGAGUCCUCCGCUCAUCCGUUUUAUCUGUCCUUCCUCGCAAUUUAUGAUAUGCUUCCCUAUAGAGGUCUAUAAUAUGCAUCCGAUGAAGUGAAUUCAUGUUGACGAAAGCUUGUGUUGUUAUAUAUUUGUGAGUCUUUAAGGUGUCUGUCAUAAGAUGCUUGUUGCAGUAUUUCUAAGUUUUUCUAAAACAGUGGUUCUCAAAUGGUUCCUUGAAAGAAGUUAAAGAGUGUAAGAGAAAGAACGCGAUUUUGGCCUAGUAGUGGCGUGGGAAUGUUCCGAAGGAAGGUAGAGAUGGCUCUCUAUAUACACAUCGGUUUGCAACAAAGUUUGGGAACACACUGUCCAAAACUGCAAUGGCCUAUUUGUCCACUAGGCGGCGGCAAUACAGGUCUCUCUUCUUUCUAUUGUCUCCAUAAAGCUCUUGGUCUAUUACAUUUAUGACGAGCUAUGGAAGACAUACUUUUAAUGAUCUUUUGCUAAUAGUUGGCGUCGUGCUAGUAACGAAGCAGCAACGUGCUAUUGUUUUUUAAUAAGUGCUUCACGGUCUCUGUAGCUUUUGAAGAAAUUCUGGUAAGGCAACUUUCCCAAAAGAGAAAACAGAACCAGACCUAGUAAAUAAGACAGAGGCUUAGGAUCCAACCCACCAGGAAAUUAUCCUGAUCAAGCCGCAUUCUAAUUAAUGUACUCCUACCGUGCUGUUGUGCAGCUUUCAUUCAUUUCAAUGGGGCUUAUACAGGAGAAGAACUUUCAGGAGGAUUGAGCCCUUCUAAGGCUGAAAGAGUUGAUCGAGUGUUUUGCUGAAUCCGAACUGAAACAAAUCUGUCCUAACCACCCUUGCAACCCGAUGUGGUAGCAAAUCACAGUUCCUACAGGGGAACUUAUCUUCUAGUCCAAACAACCAAGAGUCUUGUGGCACUUUAAAGACUAACAGAUUUUAACAUACACUUCCAAGGACUGAAGUCCACACUUCACCAGAUGCAUGAAAUGUUAUCCUCAUUUGGUGGUGGUAGCUGUGUGUGCACGCAUGUGUGUGCGCACAAAUAAAAUUGUAAUCAGUGAGGUCAAAUGGCGAUGAAAUACAAAUACGUUUACUCUCUAGUAAAUGUGGGCAGGAUUGAAGCGUAAAGGGGCUAUUGGAUGCCCAUCCACAGUCAAAACCUGAAGUCUAAAAAGUCGGUUUCAUACAGUUUGAGUCUGUUCUGAUUGCUAACUAGACUGACUAAUGAGGGGCAGAGGAUGUCCCUUACCAGGGGCAGGUGGAGAUCCCUUUGUGGGUAUCUGUUCUUCGUAGUGACACAUUGUGAUCUGGUGAUGAAACAAUGAUCCUAUCCUGAAGUGGCUCAGCUAGAUGGUCUUUUUAUGACGCCCCUCAACACUAAUGCUACAUGUUUCUAACUCAGAAGAAUCCACAGGCAACUAAAUGAAGAAACAAGAGGAAACCGUGCCUAAAUCUGGGCAGUUCCUUUGUAUCUCCUCUUUGCCAGGUUUUUAAUUAAAAAGAAAGAAGCAAACCCAACCAUAACUUUUUUUUUAAAAAAGAGCUGUACUCAGAAUUGAGUUAUCCCCAGUUCAUUUGCGGUGUGCACUUUUAGUUUUGCAAUCUAAAGGCUGUCUCCCUCGGGAAUAAAAGUCUGGCCACACCAGAUUCUGGAUCCGGAUUCCAGAUCUCGAAUAUAGAGGAACGCAAACUGAUAGGAUACCGUGUUCAAAGGUCUCUGCUCUUUCUAACACUGUUUCUCUUUGUCCCCGACUGGCAGACUUAGGGAAUGAAAGGGAGCUUUCUGCCCUCCCGUUGCCUCAUGUCGCUGUUAACAUCCCUCGAUCGGUUCCUCGCUGACAGUAGGCGAAUUAUGAAGAUGCUUCUUCCGUUUCCGACUUUCAAAACCUGCCGGGUGGAGCGACAGAGCAAGUAACUGUUUGCGCCCAGACGACGAACGCAUCCAGCUGAAGCGCCAUUCCAGCCAACAGGACGCAUUAAGGAGGGUGUAUCAAAUUCAGUUCCACGAUGCCCUUAGAGCAGGUAGUUGUUUGGGUCUUGGCAAGGGAAGAAUGAAAUUGAUGUAGUAGACUCUCUUUGCAAUAUUGCAGUGGAGUCAAUAAGUGUGUUUGACAGAAAUAACUAGGCCUGGCUUCUUGCCCUGCAAACAGCCCAGCUUGGGGAGAAAUUUCCUUUGAUGCGGGGCAUAGAUCAGAGAGGAAAGUGGAUGCACAUAUAUUGUCUGGAACUCCUACAAUGUUCUACUGAACUCUGUGCCGAAUAUGGGCGAAGCCUACCCCGCACCCCCCAACUCCAUAAUAUGUUGCUGGAAGUCUGUACCUCCCUCUUUGACGUUAGACGGCGAGGGGAGGGGAGAAGGAGAUGGAUGGAUGGAAAUCUAGACCAUCUGUAGAGGUGCCACUCAAAAAAAGAAAAAAAAGGAAAGGGAAAAGGAGGUGGAGUGGGGGAAGGAGGGAGGAUUCUUUCUCCAAUGUUAAUUAACAAGCAACUAAUUAAAACGGCACUUUGAGCGCUAAUCAAUCGCUUUAUUAAGCCGGGAGUAGUAACUGGAACAAAUUGAAUGCUACCAGUUAGCGUAUCAUGCUAUUGAGCUGCAAGGGUCGAUGAAAGGACGAGGGACUGGAGGGUGAGCCGAUCGAUCCUCGCCCCAUUGGUGUUGACCGAGGUCAGCCAGAUACAUCGAGGUGGGCAGGACCUCUCUCCUGACUCCUUCACCUCUCCUUCUUGGUAGUCGGGGAAGCGUCAGAGAGCAGCGUAGCUUGCACACUGGGAUUCUCAUCCAAAGCCUAGUCCUCCUCCCAGCGCGCUAACUCCCAACCCAACCGGCACGAAACCGAAGGCGGUGGCCACAUUGAUUUCGAGUCGACGAGAUCAAGAGUGUGAAGGACAAAUCAUCGUCCGAUUAACAAUAAGGGGAGUUCCUGAUCGACCGAACUCAAGCAGAGUUUUAUCAUCGAUUUUAAAUGGGAUCGCGAAGAACAAUAAUCCUGGACCUCGAGGAGGAAAAAGAAGGACCCCAACGGAAACUGAAACAUAUCACCACCCCUGUCAGUCACACAACUCAUGACGAUCAGCGUUUCUGCUGCGAAGCAUUGAAGAUGGGGAAACCUCCGACUGACUCCGGCUCUCGAAACAGCUACUGAGCCCCCAGACCUUCCCAGUCUCUUUCCUUCGGUUUUGUCUACACACCGCUACAGACCCGUGGGAAGGCUGCUGGAAAUGGGCGGGACUAGUAGGAGAAAGAGAAACACUUUUCAGGUCCCAUUGCGCUGAUCUGAUUUGUCUCUGGUGAA
This is a long non-coding RNA of Hemicordylus capensis (graceful crag lizard), 4549 nucleotides long. RefSeq lists it as uncharacterized. The record is from RefSeq and is a predicted model, not a curated record. The transcript has 3 exons. NCBI's taxonomy places the organism in Eukaryota, Metazoa, Chordata, Lepidosauria, Squamata, Cordylidae.